UAAUAUUCCCGUACUUGGUGUUACUGCGAAGGGGGGACGGAGAAGGCUAUGUUGGCCGGGCGACGGUUGUCCCGGUUUAAGCGUGUAGGUAUGUGUUCCAGGUAAAUCCGGUUCACUUUAACACUGAGGCGUGACGACGAGGCACUACGGUGCUGAAGCAACAAAUGCCCUGCUUCCAGGAAAAGCCUCUAAGCAUCAGGUAACAUCAAAUCGUACCCCAAACCGACACAGGUGGUCAGGUAGAGAAUACCAAGGCGCUUGAGAGAACUCGGGUGAAGGAACUAGGCAAAAUGGUGCCGUAACUUCGGGAGAAGGCACGCUGACACGUAGGUGAAGUGAUUUACUCACGGAGCUGAAGUCAGCCGAAGAUACCAGCUGGCUGCAACUGUUUAUUAAAAACACAGCACUGUGCAAACACGAAAGUGGACGUAUACGGUGUGACGCCUGCCCGGUGCCGGAAGGUUAAUUGAUGGGGUCAGCGCAAGCGAAGCUCCUGAUCGAAGCCCCGGUAAACGGCGGCCGUAACUAUAACGGUCCUAAGGUAGCGAAAUUCCUUGUCGGGUAAGUUCCGACCUGCACGAAUGGCGUAAUGAUGGCCAGGCUGUCUCCACCCGAGACUCAGUGAAAUUGAACUCGCUGUGAAGAUGCAGUGUACCCGCGGCAAGACGGAAAGACCCCGUGAACCUUUACUAUAGCUUGACACUGAACAUUGAGCCUUGAUGUGUAGGAUAGGUGGGAGGCUUUGAAGUGUGGACGCCAGUCUGCAUGGAGCCGACCUUGAAAUACCACCCUUUAAUGUUUGAUGUUCUAACGUGGACCCGUGAUCCGGGUUGCGGACAGUGUCUGGUGGGUAGUUUGACUGGGGCGGUCUCCUCCUAAAGAGUAACGGAGGAGCACGAAGGUUGGCUAAUCCUGGUCGGACAUCAGGAGGUUAGUGCAAUGGCAUAAGCCAGCUUGACUGCGAGCGUGACGGCGCGAGCAGGUGCGAAAGCAGGUCAUAGUGAUCCGGUGGUUCUGAAUGGAAGGGCCAUCGCUCAACGGAUAAAAGGUACUCCGGGGAUAACAGGCUGAUACCGCCCAAGAGUUCAUAUCGACGGCGGUGUUUGGCACCUCGAUGUCGGCUCAUCACAUCCUGGGGCUGAAGUAGGUCCCAAGGGUAUGGCUGUUCGCCAUUUAAAGUGGUACGCGAGCUGGGUUUAGAACGUCGUGAGACAGUUCGGUCCCUAUCUGCCGUGGGCGCUGGAGAACUGAGGGGGGCUGCUCCUAGUACGAGAGGACCGGAGUGGACGCAUCACUGGUGUUCGGGUUGUCAUGCCAAUGGCACUGCCCGGUAGCUAAAUGCGGAAGAGAUAAGUGCUGAAAGCAUCUAAGCACGAAACUUGCCCCGAGAUGAGUUCUCCCUGAGACUUUAGGUCUCCUGAAGGAACGUUGAAGACGACGACGUUGAUAGGCCGGGUGUGUAAGCGCAGCGAUGCGUUGAGCUAACCGGUACUAAUGAACCGUGAGGCUUAACCUUACAACGCCGAAG
This 1528-nucleotide ribosomal RNA is filed under the name Salmonella enterica. RNAcentral describes it as "partial 23S ribosomal RNA". It matches the Rfam family "Bacterial large subunit ribosomal RNA", at positions 1431 to 2925 of the family's 2925-position model. Lineage: Bacteria; Pseudomonadati; Pseudomonadota; Gammaproteobacteria; Enterobacterales; Enterobacteriaceae. The record is from RNAcentral.